CACGUGCAAAGGUAGCAUAAUCAAUUGUCCUUUAAUUGGGGACUAGAAUGAAUGGAUAAAUAAAAAUUAGCUAUUCAAUUUUUAUAAAUAAAAAUUUACCUUUAGAUGAAAAGGUCUAAAUCCUAAUAAAAGACCAGAAGACCCUAUAGAGCUUUAUCUUAAACUAUUUUAUAAAUUUUAAUAAGAUUUGGUUGGGGCAACCUAGGAAAUACUUCCUAUAAAUUAAUAGAACUAUAUUUUAUUUCUAAGAUAUAAAAAAUUAAGCUACCUUAGGGAUAACAGGCUAAUCUUAUUUUAUAGUCCACAUACACAAUAAGGUUUAGCACCUCGAUGUUGGCUUGGAAUUCCUAUUAA
This 354-nucleotide ribosomal RNA is filed under the name Parougia sp. Seep Clade OR. Its description in RNAcentral is "partial 16S ribosomal RNA". It matches the Rfam family "Bacterial large subunit ribosomal RNA", at positions 1945 to 2553 of the family's 2925-position model. The record is from RNAcentral. Lineage: Eukaryota; Metazoa; Annelida; Polychaeta; Eunicida; Dorvilleidae.